Molecule: ribosomal RNA, 497 nt
Filed under: uncultured bacterium
Lineage: Bacteria
Description: partial 16S ribosomal RNA
Rfam family: Bacterial small subunit ribosomal RNA
Source: RNAcentral
GACGAACGCUGGCGGCGUGCCUAAUACAUGCAAGUUGAGCGCUGAAGGUUGGUACUUGUACCAACUGGAUGAGCAGCGAACGGGUGAGUAACGCGUGGGGAAUCUGCCUUUGAGCGGGGGACAACAUUUGGAAACGAAUGCUAAUACCGCAUAAAAACUUUAAACACAAGUUUUAAGUUUGAAAGAUGCAAUUGCAUCACUCAAAGAUGAUCCCGCGUUGUAUUAGCUAGUUGGUGAGGUAAAGGCUCACCAAGGCGAUGAUACAUAGCCGACCUGAUAGGGUGAUCGGCCACAUUGGGACUGAGACACGGCCCAAACUCCUACGGGAGGCAGCAGUAGGGAAUCUUCCGAAAUGGACGAAAGUCUGACCGAGCAACGCCGCGUGAGUGAAGAAGGUUUUCGGAUCGUAAAACUCUGUUGGUAGAGAAGAACGUUGGUGAGAGUGGAAAGCUCAUCAAGUGACGGUAACUACCCAGAAAGGGACGGCUAACUACGUG